CGUGUAGGAACCUACCUUCGAGCGGGGGAGUAACUUAGGGAAACGUUAAGCUAAUACCGCAUAAUAUCGAAAGAUCAAAGUUGGGGAGUCGUAAGACCUGACACUCAAAGAAGGGCCUACAUUAGAUUAGCUUGUUGGUAAGGUAAAGGCUUACCAAGGCUACGAUCUAUAGCUGGUUUGAGAGGACGACCAGCCACACUGGGACUGAGACACGGCCCAGACUCCUACGGGAGGCGGCAGUGGGGAAUCUUGGACAAUGGGGGCAACCCUGAUCCAGCGAUGCCGCGUGUGUGAAGAAGG
Molecule: ribosomal RNA, 300 nt
Filed under: uncultured bacterium
Lineage: Bacteria
Description: bacterial SSU rRNA
Rfam family: Bacterial small subunit ribosomal RNA
Source: RNAcentral